UUGAACGCUGGCGGCAGGCCUAACACAUGCAAGUCGAGCGGAUGAAGGGAGCUUGCUCCUGGAUUCAGCGGCGGACGGGUGAGUAAUGCCUAGGAAUCUGCCUGGUAGUGGGGGAUAACGUCCGGAAACGGGCGCUAAUACCGCAUACGUCCUGAGGGAGAAAGUGGGGGAUCUUCGGACCUCACGCUAUCAGAUGAGCCUAGGUCGGAUUAGCUAGUUGGUGGGGUAAAGGCCUACCAAGGCGACGAUCCGUAACUGGUCUGAGAGGAUGAUCAGUCACACUGGAACGGAGACACGGUCCAGACUCCUACGGGAGGCAGCAGUGGGGAAUAUUGGACAAUGGGCGAAAGCCUGAUCCAGCCAUGCCGCGUGUGUGAAGAAGGUCUUCGGAUUGUAAAGCACUUUAAGUUGGGAGGAAGGGCAGUAAGUUAAUACCUUGCUGUUUUGACGUUACCAACAGAAUAAGCACCGGCUAACUUCGUG
Molecule: ribosomal RNA, 483 nt
Filed under: uncultured bacterium
Lineage: Bacteria
Description: partial 16S ribosomal RNA
Rfam family: Bacterial small subunit ribosomal RNA
Source: RNAcentral